CAACCCUUAAGCCCUGUUGCUUAGUGUUGGGAGCCUACGGGAUUUUCCCCGCAGCUCCUCAAAGUUAGUGGCGGGGUCGGUUCGCACUCUAGACGCAGUAGAUUUUAUUUUCAUCUCGCCUGUAGUGUGUGCCGGUCCUCUGCCGUAAAACACCCUAUAUACCAAA
Molecule: unclassified non-coding RNA, 166 nt
Filed under: uncultured Rosellinia
Lineage: Eukaryota; Fungi; Ascomycota; Sordariomycetes; Xylariales; Xylariaceae
Description: sequence contains ITS2
Source: RNAcentral